GAUUUAAAUUUACCUUUGAAUUUUUCGGCUGCCUGAUUUAAAGAAUUAUCUUCCAAUUUCUUAGCUACAUCUUCUUUUGUCCAUGCUUUAUAGCCUUCUCCAACAAAAAAAUCAGAAGAUGUCGUAGGCUGAGUUACCUCAUCUUUUCCAGAUUCGCUAAAUGAGACAUCAAAUCUUUUUCUCUUUGAAGCAGGAACUCCAUUGGAUUUUGAUUUUCGUUUUUUGCCCGUCAUAACAAUUUGCUGCGGUAAUGAGAAAUGAAGAUGUUUUACCUAUAUAUGCUCAUGCAUCAUAAGUACAGGUACAAGCACAGGCAGACACAAAU
RNAcentral lists this long non-coding RNA (325 nucleotides) under Mytilus galloprovincialis (Mediterranean mussel). Lineage: Eukaryota; Metazoa; Mollusca; Bivalvia; Mytilida; Mytilidae. The record is from RNAcentral.